AUCCUUGUGUGGCUCAUAAGCAUGGUGAUUGGGUCUUCACAUGCUUAUGUAAGAUGUGCCUCCCUCAAACAUUGUUAUGAUGUCAGCACAUUACCUGUCUGACA
This is a small nucleolar RNA of Otolemur garnettii (small-eared galago), 104 nucleotides long. NCBI's taxonomy places the organism in Eukaryota, Metazoa, Chordata, Mammalia, Primates, Galagidae. The record is from Ensembl.